This 299-nucleotide long non-coding RNA is filed under the name Ananas comosus (pineapple). Its description in RNAcentral is "long non-coding RNA (ACOM_LNC003651)". Lineage: Eukaryota; Viridiplantae; Streptophyta; Magnoliopsida; Poales; Bromeliaceae. The record is from RNAcentral.
CUUUACACUAACUCUAGUGUUCUUUACAUUACUUUAUGUUGCUACUCUAACAAUCAUUAUUCUUUACCUUUCUUUUACUUUUGCUAAUUCUAGCAAUCAUGUUCUUUACAUUUCUUUACUUUUGGCUAUCUUUAGCAUUCAUGUUCUUUACGCCCCACUUUGUUUUCACUUUAGUCAUUAUCAUUAUUCUUUACAUCACAUUGAUUCUUUGCCUCACACUAACUCUAGUGUCACUUUACUUUACAUUAUCAAAUGCCACUCGAUCUAUGUCUCAUGGUGUCACUCUGUUCUUUCGCCUC